Molecule: ribosomal RNA, 331 nt
Filed under: Enterococcus casseliflavus
Lineage: Bacteria; Bacillati; Bacillota; Bacilli; Lactobacillales; Enterococcaceae
Description: bacterial SSU rRNA
Rfam family: Bacterial small subunit ribosomal RNA
Source: RNAcentral
UGGCGAACGGGUGAGUAACACGUGGGUAACCUGCCCAUCAGAAGGGGAUAACACUUGGAAACAGGUGCUAAUACCGUAUAACACUAUUUUCCGCAUGGAAGAAAGUUGAAAGGCGCUUUUGCGUCACUGAUGGAUGGACCCGCGGUGCAUUAGCUAGUUGGUGAGGUAACGGCUCACCAAGGCAACGAUGCAUAGCCGACCUGAGAGGGUGAUCGGCCACACUGGGACUGAGACACGGCCCAGACUCCUACGGGAGGCAGCAGUAGGGAAUCUUCGGCAAUGGACGAAAGUCUGACCGAGCAAACGCCGCGUGAGUGAAGAAGGUUUUCGG